This 690-nucleotide ribosomal RNA is filed under the name uncultured bacterium. Its description in RNAcentral is "bacterial SSU rRNA". It matches the Rfam family "Bacterial small subunit ribosomal RNA", at positions 141 to 851 of the family's 1533-position model. The record is from RNAcentral.
GGAUAACAUACCGAAAGGUAUGCUAAUACGGGAUAAUAUAUUUGAGAGGCAUCUCUUAAAUAUCAAAGGUGAGCCAGUACAGGAUGGACCCGCGUCUGAUUAGCUAGUUGGUAAGGUAACGGCUUACCAAGGCGACGAUCAGUAGCCGACCUGAGAGGGUGAUCGGCCACAUUGGAACUGAGACACGGUCCAAACUCCUACGGGAGGCAGCAGUGGGGAAUAUUGCACAAUGGGCGAAAGCCUGAUGCAGCAACGCCGCGUGAGUGAUGAAGGCCUUCGGGUCGUAAAACUCUGUCCUCGAGGAAGAUAAUGACGGUACUUGAGGAGGAAGCCCCGGCUAACUACGUGCCAGCAGCCGCGGUAAUACGUAGGGGGCUAGCGUUAUCCGGAUUUACUGGGCGUAAAGGGUGCGUAGGCGGUCUUUCAAGUCAGGAGUGAAAGGCUACGGCUCAACCGUAGUAAGCUCUUGAAACUGGGAGACUUGAGUGCAAGAGAGGAGAGUGGAAUUCCUAGUGUAGCGGUGAAAUGCGUAGAUAUUAGGAGGAACACCAGUUGCGAAGGCGGCUCUCUGGACUGUAACUGACGCUGAGGCACGAAAGCGUGGGGAGCAAACAGGAUUAGAUACCCUGGUAGUCCACGCUGUAAACGAUGAGUACUAGGUGUCGGGGGUUACCCCCCUCGGUGCCGCAG